RNAcentral lists this long non-coding RNA (930 nucleotides) under Homo sapiens (human). RNAcentral's name for it is "HSALNT0055938". Lineage: Eukaryota; Metazoa; Chordata; Mammalia; Primates; Hominidae. The record is from RNAcentral.
CACAGAAGAGAACCAUGGAACCCAGUGACUAGUGUUCAGCUCUAUUAGGACGAACCCAGGCACUUAGCCAUGCAGGAACAAUGGCAAGCCUUUAGCCCGAUCGGGAGUGGCAAUGGGCGCCUCGAUGGAUCAGGAGCACAGCGGACACCCUGCCAGAUCUGGAGGGAUGGAAGUCAGCGGUGGGUCUGCGAAAGCGCAAACAGGAGUGGUGGACAGCAAGUGAAAGCUCACCUCGAGCCGUAAGGAACACGGAACAAAAGAGAGUGCAGUUGCAAGAUUUAAUAGAGUGAAGACAGAGCUCCCAUACAAAAAGAGAGGACCCAAAGAGGUCAUCAGUUAGAUGAAUAUGUAUUUGAAAGCUGUUCAUUCAUUGUGGAGAUGUGGGUAGACAGCAGUAAAUAUGCCCCAUGGCACUGAUUAACUCAAAGUGGCUCCAGGCCAAAGAUUUUAUGCUUCAGUGGAGAUAUUUUUGCCAUCAGCAGGACUUUGUUGACCAUACAUUAUGAGGGAAAUAUUUAAUACUAUUUGGAGACUGAUAUAUUUUCCUCUUAUCUAGAGUAAAAUAAAUUAUAAGAAGUGAUGAAAACAACCAUUUAAUUAGACUUACAAUGGCUAUUGAGUUAAUCUUCAAGUUAUUUUCCUACGGGCCCUUUUAAGAGAAGGUUGGAAAGAAGGAACCAUGUUUACCAGAGAUGUUUCCCAAGAUGGACAACAGACUGACCAUGUUGAUUCAGAACUAAGUACUAAUAAAAAGGAGUUUAAUAAGAAGUCUAAUAGAAAUCAAAUUGUAUUUAUCAACUUUAAUUCUAUUUUAAUGCACGAGUCCUAACAGCCCAUUUUUUCUGACUGUGCUCCCAAAAGUUGUCUGGGCUUUUGCUGUUGCAACUGGAAGAGGCAAAGAAUAAUGAUUAUUAAAAAGUAGGUAUGUGC